CCAGAGGGUCGGGCGGCCGCGUCGCAUGCAAGUGCGCCGAGGAAAGUCCGGGCUCCACGGAACGACGGUGCCGGGUAACGCCCGGCGGAGGCGACUCCAGGGAAAGUGCCACAGAAAGCAGACCGCCUUCGGCUUCGGCCGGGCAAGGGCGAAAGGGUGGGGUAAGAGCCCACCGCGGGCCCGGCAACGGGAACGGCACGGCAAACCCCACCGGGAGCAAGACCGAAUAGGGAUGGCAAAUGGGCCUGUUCCGGCUCGUCAUCCGGGUUGGUUGCUGGAGACCGUCAGCAAUGAUGGUCCAAGAGGAAUGGCCGCACAUCGUCCAACAGGGCGAGGACAGAACCCGGCUUACAGACCCUCUGGCGCU
Molecule: RNase P RNA, 367 nt
Filed under: Sphingomonas sp. ID1715
Lineage: Bacteria; Pseudomonadati; Pseudomonadota; Alphaproteobacteria; Sphingomonadales; Sphingomonadaceae
Description: Bacterial RNase P class A
Rfam family: Bacterial RNase P class A
About the family: Ribonuclease P (RNase P) is a ubiquitous endoribonuclease, found in archaea, bacteria and eukarya as well as chloroplasts and mitochondria. Its best characterised activity is the generation of mature 5'-ends of tRNAs by cleaving the 5'-leader elements of precursor-tRNAs.
Source: Rfam by way of RNAcentral